RNAcentral lists this ribosomal RNA (446 nucleotides) under uncultured bacterium. Its description in RNAcentral is "partial 16S ribosomal RNA". It matches the Rfam family "Bacterial small subunit ribosomal RNA", at positions 330 to 792 of the family's 1533-position model. The record is from RNAcentral.
UCCAGACUCCUACGGGAGGCAGCAGUGGGGGAUAUUGCACAAUGGGGGGAACCCUGAUGCAGCGACGCCGCGUGGGUGAAGGAGCGUUUCGGCGCGUAAAGCCCUAUCGGCAGGGAAGAAGGAGGACGGUACCUGACUAAGAAGCCCCGGCUAACUACGUGCCAGCAGCCGCGGUAAUACGUAGGGGGCAAGCGUUAUCCGGAUUUACUGGGUGUAAAGGGGGCGCAGACGGCAGCGCAAGCCAGGAGUGAAAGCCCGGGGCCCAACCCCGGGACUGCUCUUGGAACUGCGCGGCUGGAGUGCAGGAGGGGCAGGCGGAAUUCCUGGUGUAGCGGUGAAAUGCGUAGAUAUCAGGAGGAACACCGGUGGCGAAGGCGGCCUGCUGGACUGCGACUGACGCUGAGGCUCGAAAGCGUGGGGAGCAAACAGGAUUAGAUACCCCAGUA